AUUGAACGCUGGCGGCAGGCCUAACACAUGCAAGUCGAGCGAGCGUCGGACGGGUGAGUAAUGUCUGGGGACUGCCAGAUAGAGGGGGAUAACUACUGGAAACGGUAGCUACUCCCGCAUACUAAGCGAUAACCCAUAUGGGCUUAGCUAGUAGGUGAGGUAAUGGCUCACCUAGGCGACGAUCCCUAGCUGGUCUGAGAGGAUGAUCAGACAUACGGGGACGGAUACACGGACCAGACUCCUACGGAGGCAGCAGUGGGGAAUAUUGCACAAUGGGCGAAAGCGUGAUGCAGUAAAGCCGCGUGUAUGAAGAAAGCCUGAGGGUUCUAAAGUACAAUCAGUCGAGAAGCGUUACCGACAGAAGGAGCACCGGCUAACUUCGUGCGAGCAGCGGAGGUAAUAC
This 403-nucleotide ribosomal RNA is filed under the name uncultured bacterium. Its description in RNAcentral is "partial 16S ribosomal RNA". It matches the Rfam family "Bacterial small subunit ribosomal RNA", at positions 30 to 526 of the family's 1533-position model. The record is from RNAcentral.